RNAcentral lists this ribosomal RNA (235 nucleotides) under uncultured Burkholderia sp. Its description in RNAcentral is "partial 16S ribosomal RNA". It matches the Rfam family "Bacterial small subunit ribosomal RNA", at positions 547 to 781 of the family's 1533-position model. The record is from RNAcentral. Lineage: Bacteria; Pseudomonadati; Pseudomonadota; Betaproteobacteria; Burkholderiales; Burkholderiaceae.
GGAAUUACUGGGCGUAAAGCGUGCGCAGGCGGUUUGUUAAGACCGAUGUGAAAUCCCCGGGCUCAACCUGGGAACUGCAUUGGUGACUGGCAAGCUAGAGUAUGGCAGAGGGGGGUGGAAUUCCACGUGUAGCAGUGAAAUGCGUAGAUAUGUGGAGGAAUACCGAUGGCGAAGGCAGCCCCCUGGACCAAUACUGACGCUCAUGCGCGAAAGCAUGGGGAGCAAACAGGAUUAA